This 468-nucleotide ribosomal RNA is filed under the name uncultured bacterium. RNAcentral describes it as "partial 16S ribosomal RNA". It matches the Rfam family "Bacterial small subunit ribosomal RNA", at positions 28 to 507 of the family's 1533-position model. The record is from RNAcentral.
GACGAACGCUGGCGGCGUGCUUAACACAUGCCAGUCGAACGGAAAGGCCCUGCGUUUGUGGGGUUCUCGAGUGGCGAACGGGUGAGUAACACGUGAGUAACCUGCCCUUGACUUUGGGAUAGCUUCAGGAAACUGGGGCUAAUACCGUAUAGGAUCUCCUGCUGCAUGGUGGGGGUUGGAAAGUUUCGGCGGUUGGGGAUGGACUCGCGGCUUAUCAGCUUGUUGGUGGGGUAGUGGCUUACCAAGGCUUUGACGGAUAGCCGGCCUGAGAGGGUGACCGGCCACAGUGGGACUGCGAUACGGACCAGACUCGUACGGGAGGCAGCAGUGGGGAAUAUUGCACAAUGGGCGGAAGUCUGAUGCAGCAACGCCGCGUGCGGGAUGACGGCCUUCGGGUUGUAAACCGCUUUCGCCUGUGACGAAGCGUGAGUGACGGUAAUGGGUAAAGAAGCACCGGCUAACUACGUG